RNAcentral lists this ribosomal RNA (492 nucleotides) under uncultured bacterium. Its description in RNAcentral is "partial 16S ribosomal RNA". It matches the Rfam family "Bacterial small subunit ribosomal RNA", at positions 29 to 507 of the family's 1533-position model. The record is from RNAcentral.
AGUGAACGCUGGCGGUAGGCCUAACACAUGCAUGUCGAACGGCAGCACAGUAAGAGCUUGCUCUUACGGGUGGCGAGUGGCGGACGGGUGAGGAAUACAUCGGAAUCUACUUUUUCGUGGGGGAUAACGUAGGGAAACUUACGCUAAUACCGCAUACGACCUACGGGUGAAAGCAGGGGAUCUUCGGACCUUGCGCGAUUGAAUGAGCCGAUGUCGGAUUAGCUAGUUGGCGGGGUAAAGGCCCACCAAGGCGACGAUCCGUAGCUGGUCUGAGAGGAUGAUCAGCCACACUGGAACUGAGACACGGUCCAGACUCCUACGGGAGGCAGCAGUGGGGAAUGUUGGACAAUGGGCGCAAGCCUGAUCCAGCCAUACCGAGUGGGUGAAGAAGGCCUUCGGGUUGUAAAGCCCUUUUGUUGGGAAAGAAAAGCAGCAGGUUAAUACCCCGCUGUUCUGACGGUACCCAAAGAAUAAGCACCGGCUAACUUCGUG